RNAcentral lists this ribosomal RNA (529 nucleotides) under uncultured bacterium. Its description in RNAcentral is "bacterial SSU rRNA". It matches the Rfam family "Bacterial small subunit ribosomal RNA", at positions 397 to 917 of the family's 1533-position model. The record is from RNAcentral.
CCGCGUGAGUGAUGAAGGUCUUCGGAUCGUAAAGCUCUGUGGGAAGGGGACGAAAAAGCGUGACCUAAUACGUCUCGCCUUGACGGUACCUUCUUAGCAAGCACCGGCUAACUCCGUGCCAGCAGCCGCGGUAAUACGGAGGGUGCAAACGUUGCUCGGAAUUAUUGGGCGUAAAGCGCAUGUAGGCGGUCCGCUAAGUCGGAUGUGAAAGCCCUCGGCUUAACCGAGGAAGUGCAUCCGAAACUGGCGGGCUAGAGUACGGAAGAGGGUUUCGGAAUUCCCGGUGUAGAGGUGAAAUUCGUAGAUAUCGGGAGGAACACCAGUGGCGAAGGCGGAAACCUGGGCCGAUACUGACGCUGAGAUGCGAAAGCGUGGGGAGCAAACAGGAUUAGAUACCCUGGUAGUCCACGCCGUAAACGAUGAGCGCUAGGUGUUGGGGGUAUUGACCCCCCCAGUACCGCAGCUAACGCGUUAAGCGCUCCGCCUGGGGAGUACGGCCGCAAGGCUAAAACUCAAAGGAAUUGACGGG